GAUGAUUAUUGGGCCUAAAGCAUCCGUAGCCUGUUCUAUAAGUUUGCGGUUAAAUCUAUACGCUCAACGUAUAGGCUGCCGUAAAUACUGUAGAACUAGGGAGUGGGAGAGGUAGACGGUACUCGGUAGGAAGGGGUAAAAUCCUUUGAUCUAUCGAUGACCACCUGUGGCGAAGGCGGUCUACCAGAACACGUUCGACGGUGAGGGAUGAAAGCUGGGGGAGCAAACCGGAUUAGAUACCCGGGUAGUCCCAGCUGUAAACGAUGCAGACUCGAUGAUGCAUUGGCAUAUAGCCAGUGCAGUGUCGCAGGGAAGCCGUUAAGUCUGCCGCCUGGGAAGUACGUACGCAAGUAUGAAACUUAAAGGAAUUGGCGGGGGAGCACCACAAGGGGUGAAGCCUGCGGUUCAAUUGGAGUCAACGCCAGAAAUCUUACCCGGAGAGACAGCAGAAUGAAGGUCAAGCUGAAGACUUUACCAGACAAGCUGAGAGGUGGUGCAUGGCCGUCGCCAGCUCGUGCCGUGAGAUGUCCUGUUAAGUCAGGUAACGAGCGAGAUCCUCGCCACUAGUUGCUAUCAUUAUUCUCAGGAAUAGUGGGGCGAAUUAGUGGGACUGCCGUUGUUAAAACGGAGGAAGGAGGGGGCUACGGCAGGUC
This 653-nucleotide ribosomal RNA is filed under the name Candidatus Thalassarchaeaceae archaeon. Its description in RNAcentral is "bacterial SSU rRNA". It matches the Rfam family "Archaeal small subunit ribosomal RNA", at positions 496 to 1147 of the family's 1478-position model. Lineage: Archaea; Methanobacteriati; Thermoplasmatota; Candidatus Poseidoniia; Candidatus Poseidoniales; Candidatus Thalassarchaeaceae. The record is from RNAcentral.